GACGAACGCUGGCGGCGUGCCUAACACAUGCAAGUCGAACGGAAAGGCCGUGCUAUUGUGGUGUGCCCGAGUGGCGAACGGGUGAGUAUCACGAGUGUAUCGUGCUCUUGACUUUGGGGUGACUUCAGGUAACUGGGGCUACUAUAGGAUAGCAGAUGACGUUGCAUGGUGGGGGUUGGAAAGUUUGGGCGGUUGGGGAUGGAUUCGCGGCUUAUCAGCUUGUUGGUGGGGUAGUGGCUUACCAAGGCUUUGACGGGUCGCCGGCCUGAGUGUGUGACCGGCCACAGUGGGACUAGGAUACGGCCCAGACGCCUACGUGAGGCAGCAGUGGGAAAUAUUGCACAAUGGGCGGAAGCCGGAGGCAACGACGCCGCGUUCGGAAUGACGGCCUUCGGGUUAUAAACCGCUUUCGCCUGUGACGAAGCGGGAGUGACGGUAAUGGAUAAAGAAGCACCGGCUAACUACGUG
Molecule: ribosomal RNA, 468 nt
Filed under: uncultured bacterium
Lineage: Bacteria
Description: partial 16S ribosomal RNA
Rfam family: Bacterial small subunit ribosomal RNA
Source: RNAcentral